RNAcentral lists this transfer RNA (72 nucleotides) under Camelus bactrianus (Bactrian camel). It matches the Rfam family "tRNA". From Rfam's summary of the family: Transfer RNA (tRNA) molecules are approximately 80 nucleotides in length. Their secondary structure includes four short double-helical elements and three loops (D, anti-codon, and T loops). Further hydrogen bonds mediate the characteristic L-shaped molecular structure. tRNAs have two regions of fundamental functional importance: the anti-codon, which is responsible for specific mRNA codon recognition, and the 3' end, to which the tRNAs corresponding amino acid is attached (by aminoacyl-tRNA synthetases). tRNAs cope with the degeneracy of the genetic code in two manners: having more than one tRNA (with a specific anti-codon) for a particular amino acid; and 'wobble' base-pairing, i.e. permitting non-standard base-pairing at the 3rd anti-codon position. RNAcentral also lists the same sequence under 2 other names. Lineage: Eukaryota; Metazoa; Chordata; Mammalia; Artiodactyla; Camelidae. The record is from Rfam by way of RNAcentral.
GUGGGUAUAGCUCAGUGGUAGAGUGUAUGCUUAGCAUGCAUGAAGACUUGGGUUCAAACCCCAGAACCUCCG